UACGUAGGUGACGAGCGUUGUCCGGAUUUACUGGGCGUAAAGAGCGCGCAGGCGGUCGUUCAAGUCGAGUGUGAAAGCCCCCGGCUCAACUGGGGAGGGUCACUCGAUACUGAUCGACUCGAAGGCAGGAGAGGGUAGUGGAAUUCCCGGUGUAGUGGUGAAAUGCGUAGAUAUCGGGAGGAACACCAGUGGCGAAGGCGACUACCUGGCCUGUUCUUGACGCUGAGGCGCGAAAGCUAGGGGAGCAAACGGG
This 253-nucleotide ribosomal RNA is filed under the name uncultured bacterium. Its description in RNAcentral is "partial 16S ribosomal RNA". It matches the Rfam family "Bacterial small subunit ribosomal RNA", at positions 524 to 776 of the family's 1533-position model. The record is from RNAcentral.